Canis lupus familiaris (dog) is the source of this 1810-nucleotide long non-coding RNA. RefSeq lists it as uncharacterized. The transcript is spliced from 3 exons. The record is from RefSeq and is a predicted model, not a curated record. Lineage: Eukaryota; Metazoa; Chordata; Mammalia; Carnivora; Canidae.
GUUUACCCGGGAACCAGCCUGCACCGCCUGGGGACGGUGGGGCGGAGAGGGGGGAGAGGCAGGACAGAGGGAGCGGGCAAGGCCAGUCGGUGCUCAAAACAGUCAAAUUCAAAUUAAAAGGUCAAGACACGAUUCAGGGAAUAUUCCCAGAGAGGAAGAGGGAACCUGCAGGCCCUGCGCUGGUUUUGUGGGAGUCACGUAUCACACGGGGAAACCAGGACAGCACAGGCGACAACAUCCGACCCAGAGAAGUGUCCCUUCCAGGGCGAGUGAGCUGCGGCUGCUGCUGGUUGCGUUUGCAUUUUUGAGCGGAGAAGAGGAACCAGCCUGUUUUUGAAACGGAAUCUGGAAAAUAACUUGCCUUUCCGGUCGCCCCGCAUUUUCCCCGGGACGAAGCCUGGGGUUUCCAUUUUCCAAAGGGCCGGAGCCUGGCGGGGAGAGGCCCUGGGCUCAGGGCGCCCUGGCGCGGGUGGAGGAGUGCGGAGGCCCGAUCGCUCCUAGAGGAGGCCCAAGCCCGCGGCGGCUAGAAAAGGACCUCGGCAGGAAACCCGCCGGCCUCGCUCAUCCCGGGGGCAGGAGAGGAGGCACCGGGGGUCCCCGGACCCGGGAAUCCUGGAAGAAGACGAGUACCGUGGGACUCGCUUGCAGGGCCGGCCAGGGGAGCUCAGAAAUGGUUUUGUGUUUUCAUUUGCAGGGGUUGCCGCGGGCUCGGCACAGGGGUGGGCCGGGGCAAGGUUAGGCUGUUUAGGCCCCAGACAAGCCCUGGGACAGCCCGGGCGGCAGUCAAUCCAGGGAGCCAUUUGUCCCACCCCGCGGGAAACGGCGGAGACUUUAUGGCCACUCUGUUUGUAUUAUCUGCAUAAGUCUUUCCCCACCAGUUUGAUCGAAACUGUUCGCUUUUACGAGGACCCAACGAAAAUUCCCCGUCAUAUUUAUCAGCCGGGGAUAAAAAUUUAGUAUGGGAACUGAUAUUUCCUCAUUUAUGGGGCGAUGAAAUUAAAGACCAAAGCAAUUGAGAAUUAUAUGGCUUUGGGGGGUUCCCUCCCCCCCUCUUUCACAUCUCCUUUAUUUUGCCGCCUGGCGUGCCUGUCCGUGGAGUUUGGCGUCGCAGUCCCCUGCCCUUGCCCCCUGUUUGGGGGUCUGCUGGGCCCUCUCCUCCACACCCAGGUACCGCUUGGCCAACCCUAGCUUCUCCUGGCUUUUCUCUCCGUGUCAAGAGCUGGGGGCUGGGACAGAGCUCCCGGAGCCCCUGCCGGGCCAGGAUGGGGUCUGGUUGGGGUGGUGGAAGGCUGCCAGGAGCCUCGCAGGGGAAGGAUCCGAGCCCAGCCCGGGAGGGGGCGAGGGAGGUGGCGGAGGGCGAAGAAGACAAACUCCAGAUUACCUCUCAAACCAGCAAGCCCCAAGACCGGACCUGGGGAGCCAACUGGAGAGGAGCAGAGUCGCUCGCCUCGGGACCUGCCUCUCCCUACCAGCCCGACCCCCAUCCCAAACUCACCCCUCGCCUCAGCCCUGGGAGGGGUUGGGGCCGCUUCAGAAUUCCUGCCGUUCUCCACGGGAAUCAUCCCCCCCGGGGAGAGGGAGCCUCCCGCCUUGGCUCUCACCUCCUCACAAGAACGAAUAGUGUUUAAAGUUGAAAUAAUUAGAAGUAUGAUAAACACGGCCCAUUAAUGAAAAAAGGAAUCAAAUUCAUCAGCCUAAGUGGGACCCCCGGUGGGACAAAUGUUUGCCUCUAAUUACGCAGGAUAAACGCAACCCCCGAGCUGUUAAACGAGACCCCGAGCGGGGCGGGCCGACGCAGACUUGCCUCACU